This 591-nucleotide small RNA is filed under the name Pongo abelii (Sumatran orangutan). Its description in RNAcentral is "processed transcript". Lineage: Eukaryota; Metazoa; Chordata; Mammalia; Primates; Hominidae. The record is from RNAcentral.
CAGCACAUUCUUAACCGCGACCUAGUGAUUUACGGCGCCGAGAGCCGCAACUGAACGCGCACAGCAGGGACCGAAAGCAGGGAAACCCGGAGCCUUGACUUUCUGCAGGGCGACUGCACCAAAGCGAAACAGAAGCUGAACUGGAAGCCCCGGGUCGCUUUCGAUGAGCUGGUGAGGGAGAUGGUGCACGCCGACGUGGAGCUCAUGAGGACAAACCCCAAUGCCUGAGCACCGCCGCGGAGCCCGGCCCGCCCUCCGGCUACAAUCCCCGUGGAGUCGCUGGUGCAGACGCGCUGUGGGGAUGGGGAGGGGCGUGCCAAUCUGCGGGUCCCCUGCGGCCCCUGCUGCCGCUGCGCUGCCCCGGCCGCAGGAGCCGGGCCGCCCCGCCGAGGUUUGUAGCAGCCGGGAUGUGACCCUCCAGGGUUUGGGUCGCUUUGCUUUUGUCGAAGCCUCCUCUGAAUGGCUUUGUGAAAUCAAGAUGUUUUAAUCACAUUCACUUUACUUGAAAUUAUGUUGUUAGACAACAAACUGUGGGGCCUUCAAAUUGUUUUUCUCUUUUCAUAUUAAAAAUGGUCUUUCUGUGAACUAGCA